AUUAGUGGCGAACGGGUGAGUAACACGUGAGUAACCUGCCCUUGACUCUGGGAUAAGCGCUAGAAAUGGCGUCUAAUACCGGAUACGAGCUUCAGCCGCAUGGCUAGGAGUUGGAAAGAAUUUUGGUCAAGGAUGGACUCGCGGCCUAUCAGCUAGUUGGUGAGGUAAUGGCUCACCAAGGCGACGACGGGUAGCCGGCCUGAGAGGGUGACCGGCCACACUGGGACUGAGACACGGCCCAGACUCCUACGGGAGGCAGCAGUGGGGAAUAUUGCACAAUGGGCGAAAGCCUGAUGCAGCAACGCCGCGUGAGGGAUGACGGCCUUCGGGUUGUAAACCUCUUUUAGUAGGGAAGAAGCGAAAGUGACGGUACCUGCAGAAAAAGCACCGGCUAACUACGUGCCAGCAGCCGCGGUAAUACGUAGGGUGCAAGCGUUGUCCGGAAUUAUUGGGCGUAAAGAGCUCGUAGGCGGUUUGUCGCGUCUGCUGUGAAAUCUGGGGGCUCAACCCCCAGCCUGCAGUGGGUACGGGCAGACUAGAGUGCGGUAGGGGAGAUUGGAAUUCCUGGUGUAGCGGUGGAAUGCGCAGAUAUCAGGAGGAACACCGAUGGCGAAGGCAGAUCUCUGGGCCGUAACUGACGCUGAGGAGCGAAAGCAUGGGGAGCGAACAGGAUUAGAUACCCUGGUAGUCCAUGCCGUAA
Molecule: ribosomal RNA, 700 nt
Filed under: Frigoribacterium sp.
Lineage: Bacteria; Bacillati; Actinomycetota; Actinomycetes; Micrococcales; Microbacteriaceae
Description: bacterial SSU rRNA
Rfam family: Bacterial small subunit ribosomal RNA
Source: RNAcentral